This 451-nucleotide ribosomal RNA is filed under the name uncultured bacterium. Its description in RNAcentral is "partial 16S ribosomal RNA". It matches the Rfam family "Bacterial small subunit ribosomal RNA", at positions 28 to 507 of the family's 1533-position model. The record is from RNAcentral.
GAUGAAUGCUGGCGGCGUGCCUAACACAUGCCAGUCGAGCGGCAGCGAGGGGUGCUUGCCCCCUGUCGGCGAGCGGCGAACGGCUGAGUAACGCGUAGGAAUUUGCUCCAAAGUGAGGAAUAACUGCCCGAAAGGGUAGCUAAUGCCGCAUAUGGUCUUCGGAUUAAAGGAUUUAUCCGCUGUGGGAGAAGCCUGCGUUGGAUUAGGUUGUUGGUAGGGUAAUGGCCUACCAAGCCGACGAUCCAUAGCUGGUCUGAGAGGAUGGUCAGCCAGACUGGAGCUGAGACACGGUCGGGACUCCGACGGGAGGGAGCAGUGGGGGAUCUUACACAAUGGGCGAAAGCAUGAAGGAGCAACGACGCGUGAAGGAUGAAGGCAUUCGGGUUGUAAACUUCUUUAAUGAGUGGAGAAUAUGACGGUAACUCAUGAAUAAGCACCGGCUAACUAAGUG